Aedes aegypti (yellow fever mosquito) is the source of this 616-nucleotide long non-coding RNA. RefSeq lists it as uncharacterized. The record is from RefSeq and is a predicted model, not a curated record. NCBI's taxonomy places the organism in Eukaryota, Metazoa, Arthropoda, Insecta, Diptera, Culicidae. The transcript has 3 exons.
ACUGAUAGGUAUGGGUUGAUCUUACUGUUUGAAAUGGUGAACAGCUUUGAAGUCCAUAUACACGGAGAAAAUUGAAAACUCUAACAUUUUAUUUUUGUGUGUCCUCAAGCUCGGUGAUCGUGCCUCACAAAAUUAAUAACUGUUUUCACGAGAAAAACGUAAUAAAAUAAUAAAUAGUUAUUUGGGAGCGAGAAUGUGUUGCUAUCGAAUCCCACCCAAAACUUCCGGCCGUUGGAUCUGGAGUGAAAUGACGAACAUCAGCGGAAAAAUUGCCAACGGGAUUUUCUGAACUAACAGAACUAAGCAGAUAAUGCGAAUGGCGCGGAACUAGCUCGAGUCCUAGUGGACAGAUAGAAUAAGUUGCAGCGUUCUCACCACCUUCAUACCAUGAUAAAAAAAAUUAAAGUUUUAUAAAUAGCGACGGGAUGACGCUCAUGUCGCGUCAGCAAAAAGCUAUUACAAUAAAAUAUAAAAAAAUAUAUAUAUAUCAUUUAGUUUCACUUUUAAUUUUGUUGUUUUGUUUUCAUAUUUUCAAAACAAAAUGAAAUCAGUUUUUAUGAAAUUCAUUGAAUUUUCCUUCUUUAUCAGCCCAAUGGAUUAUUCCCGUGAUAAGCAC